Molecule: long non-coding RNA, 1056 nt
Organism: Amphimedon queenslandica
Lineage: Eukaryota; Metazoa; Porifera; Demospongiae; Haplosclerida; Niphatidae
Exons: 7
Source: RefSeq, a predicted model, not a curated record
GACAUUAGGUGUAAAUGUUAAAAUGUUGAAGGGUCUGUCUUACCUAUUUUGUUGUGGCUGCAAAAGUACUGAAAUUGAUGAAUUCGAUGAGAUAGAUGUAAAAAAACCUUAUCUUAGCAUUGAACAAAAAGGGCCAUUUAAAAUUUUUGAACUUAGUGAAAAUCCUCAAAUGAUCAGAAGUGAAAAAAGGAAGCUGAGCAAUUCUGACUCUGAAGGAGAACUUGAUAAAAAAUUGAUGGAUCAACUGCCAAAGACACUGAAGCAAUUCAAGGAUCAAUCAAGGACAACGAAGCAAUUUUUGUUACCUGAUAAGUUACACAGAGAAAAGAAUCAAAAACUUCAUUUGAAAUCUGUGGUACCUAAGCAUACAAAACCUGAAAAUAGAAAAUUAGAGUAUGAAACUAGUUUUUCAAAGCAGUCUUACUCACCACAUAGCACUCCACCAAGAUGUAGGAAAACAUCAAGAAGCUGUGAUGGUUGGUAUACUCUUAUUGCUUUGCUUAUUUAAAUUUGUUUCAUGUAGAUUUCAGUGAUAAAUUUCCAAAAAUUGACCAGAUACCAGUAAAACAAGUCUCAAGAUCUUCUUCAAGCAAUGAAAUUUAUUCUACCCCUCCAAGUGAUAGGAAAGCACUGAGUCGGAAGGACAAGCCAUUUUACCCUCCAAAAUCUCUUUCACAAGACGCAAUUUCAAAACAAAGUUCUAGAUCUAGUAUCAGUUCUGAUCUUUCAGGUAUAUGUAAUAAUCCUUCAAACUCAAGUUCUGGUAAAGACAAAACUUUAAAUGUUCAUUGGCAUGCAAAACUAUCUGGGGUUAAAUCACAGAGAGUAAAUUUGGAAAUUUGUGGGCUUAUAAACCUUGGAAACACUUGCUACAUGAAUUCAGCACUGCAAUGUUUGGUUCAUACAGAACCAUUAAGAGAGCUGAUAGAACCCAAAGACAAGAAUGGAAGUAGGACUCUACACACUUCUCAACCAAGUGACCGACCUCUAGCUAGUACCUUUUCUCUGCUUAUUAAAGACAUGUUUAAGGCAUCAGGUCUAGCAAGUUGCAAUCCA